AUCUUCACGUAGUUCAUAAGCAUAAUGAUUGACUGUUCAUACCAUUGUGUGAUAUGUGUCUCCUUCAAACCUUGUUAUGACCUUGGCACUUUACCUGUCUGAUA
This is a non-coding RNA of Canis lupus familiaris (dog), 104 nucleotides long. Lineage: Eukaryota; Metazoa; Chordata; Mammalia; Carnivora; Canidae. The record is from Rfam.